GCCCUUGUAGUUCAAUGGAUAGAACGACGCUCUCCUAAAGCGUAGAUACCAGUUCGAUUCUGGUCGGGGGUA
This 72-nucleotide transfer RNA is filed under the name Bacteroides sp. Its description in RNAcentral is "tRNA-Arg". It matches the Rfam family "tRNA". Rfam says of the family: Transfer RNA (tRNA) molecules are approximately 80 nucleotides in length. Their secondary structure includes four short double-helical elements and three loops (D, anti-codon, and T loops). Further hydrogen bonds mediate the characteristic L-shaped molecular structure. tRNAs have two regions of fundamental functional importance: the anti-codon, which is responsible for specific mRNA codon recognition, and the 3' end, to which the tRNAs corresponding amino acid is attached (by aminoacyl-tRNA synthetases). tRNAs cope with the degeneracy of the genetic code in two manners: having more than one tRNA (with a specific anti-codon) for a particular amino acid; and 'wobble' base-pairing, i.e. permitting non-standard base-pairing at the 3rd anti-codon position. RNAcentral also lists the same sequence under 1 other name. The record is from RNAcentral. Lineage: Bacteria; Pseudomonadati; Bacteroidota; Bacteroidia; Bacteroidales; Bacteroidaceae.